ACCUUUUGUAUAAUGGGUCAGCGACUUAUAUUCUGUAGCAAGGUUAACCGAAUAGGGGAGCCGAAGGGAAACCGAGUCUUAACUGGGCGUUAAGUUGCAGGGUAUAGACCCGAAACCCGGUGAUCUAGCCAUGGGCAGGUUGAAGGUUGGGUAACACUAACUGGAGGACCGAACCGACUAAUGUUGAAAAAUUAGCGGAUGACUUGUGGCUGGGGGUGAAAGGCCAAUCAAACCGGGAGAUAGCUGGUUCUCCCCGAAAGCUAUUUAGGUAGCGCCUCGUGAAUUCAUCUCCGGGGGUAGAGCACUGUUUCGGCAAGGGGGUCAUCCCGACUUACCAACCCGAUGCAAACUGCGAAUACCGGAGAAUGUUAUCACGGGAGGCACACGGCGGGUGCUAACGUCCGUCGUGAAGAGGGAAAC
Molecule: ribosomal RNA, 420 nt
Filed under: Shigella flexneri
Lineage: Bacteria; Pseudomonadati; Pseudomonadota; Gammaproteobacteria; Enterobacterales; Enterobacteriaceae
Description: partial 23S ribosomal RNA
Rfam family: Bacterial large subunit ribosomal RNA
Source: RNAcentral